RNAcentral lists this ribosomal RNA (253 nucleotides) under uncultured bacterium. RNAcentral's name for it is "partial 16S ribosomal RNA". It matches the Rfam family "Bacterial small subunit ribosomal RNA", at positions 524 to 776 of the family's 1533-position model. The record is from RNAcentral.
UACGAAGGGGGCUAGCGUUGCUCGGAAUCACUGGGCGUAAAGGGUGCGUAGGCGGGUCUUUAAGUCAGGGGGGAAAUCCUGGAGCUCAACUCCAGAACUGCCUUUGAUACUGGGAAGCUUGAGUCCGGAAGAGGUGAGUGGAACUCCGAGUGUAGAGGUGAAAUUCGUAGAUAUUCGGAAGAACACCAGUGGCGAAGGCGGCUCACUGGUCCGGUACUGACGCUGAGGUGCGAAAGCGUGGGGAGCAAACAGG